RNAcentral lists this ribosomal RNA (216 nucleotides) under Glomeromycotina sp. RNAcentral describes it as "partial small subunit ribosomal RNA". The stretch from base 87 to 216 matches the Rfam family "Eukaryotic small subunit ribosomal RNA", at positions 733 to 864 of the family's 1831-position model. The record is from RNAcentral. Lineage: Eukaryota; Fungi; Glomeromycota.
GGGUCAGUAGGUUGGUCGUGCCACCGGUACGUACUGGUCUCACUGAUUCCUCCUUCCUGAAGAACCGUAAUGCCAUUAGUUUGGCGUUGCGGGGAAACAGGACUGUUACUUUGAAAAAAUUAGAGUGUUUAAAGCAAGCUAACGCUUGAAUACAUUAGCAUGGAAUAAUGAAAUAGGACGAUCGAUCCUAUUUUGUUGGUUUCUAGGAUUGACGUA